This is a small RNA of Flavobacterium sp. FPG59, 143 nucleotides long. It matches the Rfam family "Flavo-1 RNA". The record is from Rfam. NCBI's taxonomy places the organism in Bacteria, Pseudomonadati, Bacteroidota, Flavobacteriia, Flavobacteriales, Flavobacteriaceae.
UUGUAGCCCUGAUAGUAAUGGAAAGCUUUUUAUGAUGGAAAGCCGAUUUUGCAGCGCUAAAAAAGCGACUGCAAGAAGCUCUUUUUAGGGCUAGCAAAACGUGCUUGACACUUAAAAACUUGAAAUGGAUAGCAGGAUGUGCU